RNAcentral lists this ribosomal RNA (253 nucleotides) under uncultured bacterium. RNAcentral describes it as "partial 16S ribosomal RNA". It matches the Rfam family "Bacterial small subunit ribosomal RNA", at positions 524 to 776 of the family's 1533-position model. The record is from RNAcentral.
UACAGAGGGUGCAAGCGUUAAUCGGAGUUACUGGGCGUAAAGGGCGCGUAGGUGGUUAGAUAAGUGAGAUGUGAAAUCCCUGGGCUUAACCUAGGAACUGCGCCUUAUACUGUUUAGCUGGAGUAUGAUAGAGGGUAGUGGAAUUUCCGGUGUAGCGGUGGAAUGCGUAGAGAUCGGAAAGAACACCAACGGCGAAAGCACUCUGCUGGGCCGACACUGACACUGAGAGACGAAAGCUAGGGGAGCAAAUGGG